GAAUUGCGAUAAGUAAUGUGAAUUGCAGAAUUCAGUGAAUCAUCGAAUCUUUGAACGCACCUUGCGCUCCUUGGUAUUCCUUGGAGCAUGCCUGUUUGAGUAUCAUGAAAUCUUCAAAGUAAAUCUUUUGUUAACUCAAUUGGUUUCUACUUUGGUAUUGGAGGUCUUUGCAGCUCCACACCUGCUCCUCUUUGUUCAUUAGCUGGAUCUCAGUGUUAUGCUUGGUUCCACUCGGCGUGAUAAGUUAUCUAUCGCUGAGGACACUGUAAAAGGUGGCCAAGGUAAAUGCAGAUGAACCGCUUCUAAUAGUCCAUUGACUUGGACAAUACUUUUAUGAUCUGAUCUCAAAUCAGGUAGGACUACCCGCUGAACUUAAGC
RNAcentral lists this unclassified non-coding RNA (378 nucleotides) under plant metagenome. RNAcentral describes it as "partial contains 5.8S ribosomal RNA, internal transcribed spacer 2, and large subunit ribosomal RNA". The stretch from base 1 to 105 matches the Rfam family "5.8S ribosomal RNA", at positions 50 to 154 of the family's 154-position model. The record is from RNAcentral.